GGCAGCUGUGCCAAAUUCAGUGCCUGCCUUAUCCAUGGCCCAAAGGCUGCCACAGAGACAUUGUAACUCAUGGGCCCUGUUCCUCUCUGUUGAGCUUUACCUUAAACA
RNAcentral lists this small nucleolar RNA (108 nucleotides) under Echinops telfairi (small Madagascar hedgehog). RNAcentral's name for it is "Small nucleolar RNA SNORA5 (ENSETEG00000025959.1)". It matches the Rfam family "Small nucleolar RNA SNORA5", at positions 1 to 109 of the family's 134-position model. Rfam says of the family: ACA5 is a member of the H/ACA class of snoRNA that guide the sites of modification of uridines to pseudouridines. Lineage: Eukaryota; Metazoa; Chordata; Mammalia; Afrosoricida; Tenrecidae. The record is from RNAcentral.